Molecule: ribosomal RNA, 1488 nt
Filed under: uncultured Bordetella sp.
Lineage: Bacteria; Pseudomonadati; Pseudomonadota; Betaproteobacteria; Burkholderiales; Alcaligenaceae
Description: partial 16S-23S ribosomal RNA intergenic spacer
Rfam family: Bacterial small subunit ribosomal RNA
Source: RNAcentral
GGUUCGAUUCUGGCUCAGAUUGAACGCUGGCGGGAUGCUUUACACAUGCAAGUCGAACGGCAGCACGGACUUCGGUCUGGUGGCGAGUGGCGAACGGGUGAGUAAUGUAUCGGAACGUGCCUAGUAGCGGGGAUAACUACGCGAAAGCGUAGCUAAUACCGCAUACGCCCUUCGGGGGAAAGCGGGGACCUUCGGGCCUCGCACUAUUAGAGCGGCCGAUAUCGGAUUAGCUAGUUGGUGGGGUAACGGCUCACCAAGGCGACGAUCCGUAGCUGGUUUGAGAGGAUGACCAGCCACACUGGGACUGAGACACGGGCCCAGACUCCUACGGAGGCAGCAGUGGGGAAUUUUGGACAAUGGGGGAAACUCCUGAUCCAGCCAUCCCGCGUGUGCGAUGAAGGCCUUCGGGUUGUAAAGCACUUUUGGCAGGAAGAAAACGGCACGGGAUAAUACCCCGUGCAACUGACGGUACCUGCAGAAUAAGCACCGGCUAACUACGUGCCAGCAACCGCGGUAAUACGUAGGUGCAAGCGUUAAUCGGAAUUACUGGGCGUAAAGCGUGCGCAGGCGGUUCGGAAAGAAAGAUGUGAAAUCCCAGAGCUUAACUUUGGAACUGCAUUUUUAACUACCGAGCUAGAGUGUGUCAGAGGGAGGUGGAAUUCCGCGUGUAGCAGUGAAAUGCGUAGAUAUGAGGAACACCGAUGGCGUAGCGCAGCCUCCUGGGAUAACACUGACGCUCAUGCACGAAAGCGUGGGGAGCAAACAGGAUUAGAUACCCUGGUAGUCCACGCCCUAAACGAUGUCAACUAGCUGUUGGGGCCUUUCUGGCCUUGGUAGCGCAGCUAACGCGUGCGAAGUUGACCGCCUGGGGAGUACGGUCGUAAGAUUAAACUCAAAGGAAUUGACGGGGACCCGCACAAGCGGUGGAUGAUGUGGAUUAAUUCGAUGCAACGCGAAAACCUUACCUACCCUUGACGUGUCUGGAAUCCCGAAGAGAUUUGGGAGUGCUCGCAAGAGAACCGGAACACAGGUGCUGCAUGGCUGUCGUCAGCUCGUGUCGUGAGAUGUUGGGUUAAGUCCCGCAACGAGCGCAACCCUUGUCAUUAGUUGCUGGGCGAAAGGGCACUCUAAUGAGACUGCCGGUGACAAACCGGAGGAAGGUGGGGAUGACGUCAAGUCCUCAUGGCCCUUAUGGUAGGGUUUCACACGUCAUACAAUGGUCGGGACAGAGGGUCGCCAACCCGCGAGGGGGAGCCAAUCCCAGAAACCCGAUCGUAGUCCGGAUCGCAGUCUGCAACCCGGAUCAUAGCGCCUGGAAUCGCUAGUAAUCGCGGAUCAGCAUGUCGCGGUGAAUACGUUCCCGGGUCUUGUACACACCGCCCGUCACACCAUGGGAGUGGGUUUUACCAGAAGUAGUUAAUACCUAACCGUAAGGGAGGCUGAUUACCACGGUAGGAUUCAUGACUGGGGUGAAGUCGUAACAGGUAA